UAGACAUGAUAUGCUUACCCAGGAGACAGUGAGGUCUCUUCCUGCCUUGGGGCCUGGUUUAGGCGCCUGCCUCGGUCUAGAAUCUUGUAACCUGACCCUACAAACACCAGUAAAUUUCCAUUAGUCUUUAAUCUAGCCCAAGCCAGAUUUGGCCCACCCAACAUGGGCAGAAGAGCCAACUGGGAACACUAAGUGACCUCAGUAAAGGAUGCAACAACAGGAGGAACGAAUCAGAAGGAAAAUCAUCACCCAGGCCCUAUCCUGAAGCGAGAGGUCCAACAAGAACCAUGUCACCUCCUGUUUCCUGGCCACCUUCUAGAUUUUUCCCUCCUGAGUACGCCUGCGCAGCCACCAUCUUGAUGCCCAAAUCACAUAAAAGCCCUACUUCCCUGUAGCUCAGGGAGCCAGAUCUGAGGAACUUCCUCACAGCUUCUUGCUCUGCGCAUUGCAAUUGAAGUUACUUUCUCUUUCUCAAAGACCAGUGCCAGAUAAUCGGCAACUAUGAGUGCGCCAGACAAGGACCCACCUACCUUCCUGGAUUUGCCCCUGCAGCUACAUGAAUCAGGAGAAGCCUCCAGCCUGACCCAUGGACUUGGAACAUUGCAGCCUCUACAACCUUCAAAAGGAUAUCAAGCAAAAUCAGCAAAUGGAAAAGGCACGGGGGCAAAGUCCAGAGGAAACCAGAUACAAACUCCCAGAAUUCUCUCCCAGUGGACUCACGUGAAAUGCACUUAAUUACCCCAGCAAUGUAUGAAAUGUCCACCAGAGAAGCUCCUUAGAGAUUUUAACAUGGUAAAGAUCAAGGCAAACUAAAAGAAAUAAAGCAAAGUAAAUAAAAAAGAGACGCUGAGGGAGGGAAGAAUAUUAAAUAAAACAAAACUAUCAAUAUUCUUAGAGAGGGAGAGCUUGUAUCUACAAAACAAGAACAGGACACUAUGAAAGGGAACACUCAGAGAACAACAGCAACAACAAUGAAAGCUUUUAGAAAUAAAAACCACGACAGCAGAAAUGAACACUUUACACAGGAUUGAAAUAUCACAUUAAGGAAACCUUUUUGAAAGUAGAACAAAACUGAGUUAAGAAAUUAGAAAAAAAAAGAAAGUCAUGUAGAAGAUCAUGGGAAGUCAACCCACACCAAGGCACAUCAUUGUGGAAUCUCCUAACACCUGGGAAAUAGAAGAUUCUUCAAGCUUCUAGAGAGAAAAAAUUGGAUCAUGUAUAAAAGACGAGGAAUCAGAAUGGCUUUGACUUCUCAGUAGCUACAUUAGAGUAAGCCUUCAAAAUUCUGUAGGAAAAAGGUUUUCAACUUAAAAUUCUAUAUGCAUCCAAAUUUUCAAUCAAGUACAAAGGUAGAAUAAUGGCAUUUUUAUACAUGCAGACUCUCAAAAAAAAUUCCCUCUAUUAGCCGUUUCUCAGGACACUCGUGGAGGAUAUAUAUUACUCAAGCACAGGAGUAAAGAGGGAGAAGAUUCCCAAGCCAUUGACCGUGAGCUCCAGUAAGAACAAUGAGUGGUGAAUGGUGAUCCCAGGAUGACAGCUGUGCCUCAGAGGACGAGGGCCGCAGUCGGCACUGGAGCAGUUGUGCAUGGAGAAAAUGUAAGGGCUGUCCUUGCUAAUGCCUUCCUGCCAUUGUUCCAUCUCCUUAACCUGAGGCCAGAGGGCAAUGAGUGGCCCAGAUCCCUAUCUGUGCCGACUCGGCUUAACCACUGACUGGUGAGCUUUCUCUUUCUUGUACUUCACUGCUGUGCAAUGAGCACAUGCAUUUCAACUCAAAGGCCUGCUAUGGUCUUCUCCUAAGAGCCGGAGGUGGACUUCUGUAAGCUGAAUUUAGGCACUGGCUUCUAGUGAAUGAAAUGUGAUGGAAGUGACAAUAUGGGAUUAAGCCACAGAAAGCAUUGCUGCUUUUUCCCCUUGAAUCACUCACUGUGCAGGAAGCUGGCUGUCAUGUUGUGAGGACACUCAAGCAGCCCCGUGGACAGAACACUGGGGAGGAACUGAGUGAGAAACUGAGGCUUUCACCCACAGCCAUAUGAGUGUGCCGUCUUGGAAGUGGAUCCUCCAGCCUCGAUCAAGUCUUCAGAUGACUGGAGAGCCUCACUGAGGUGCCCUGAAUGGGAGUGAGGCCAAUUAUGGCCCAAAGCAAUGAGCUUCUUGAAAAAGAAAGUUGAAGUAAAUAUGGGCCUAUAAUUAAAUAUUCUGCAAGAGUCAUUUUCGAUAAGUGCAGAGAAGCCAGGUAUGGAGUGUUUGGCAAAGGAAUGACUCUCCCUUACAGAGUCAGACCUGGGUGCUCUUCUUCUCUUUGGUCUAAUUAUAGCACAGCUAUGUAGUUUUUCAAAUGCUUGAACAGUUUUGUUAAGGGUUUAUAUUUAACAGCACCUGGACAAUUAUGAAAUAGACCUUCCAUGAAUGUGAUAUGUUUGUUAAACUGAACAUGUUUUGAAAUUUAAACAAUAAAGAUGUCCAUGGUCAGAACAAGUCCGCCCAAAUUCCGAACUAGUGGGGGAAGCUGGCCACCGCAGUUGUCUGGUGGCUUUGGCACUGAAGUGGG
Molecule: long non-coding RNA, 2548 nt
Organism: Loxodonta africana (African savanna elephant)
Lineage: Eukaryota; Metazoa; Chordata; Mammalia; Proboscidea; Elephantidae
Exons: 3
Source: RefSeq, a predicted model, not a curated record